UUUACUUGCUACACACAGCGCCGAGAGC
RNAcentral lists this small RNA (28 nucleotides) under Bombyx mori (domestic silkworm). Its description in RNAcentral is "ovarian small RNA-38234". The record is from RNAcentral. Lineage: Eukaryota; Metazoa; Arthropoda; Insecta; Lepidoptera; Bombycidae.